This 424-nucleotide ribosomal RNA is filed under the name uncultured prokaryote. RNAcentral describes it as "bacterial SSU rRNA". It matches the Rfam family "Bacterial small subunit ribosomal RNA", at positions 355 to 796 of the family's 1533-position model. The record is from RNAcentral.
UGGGGAAUUUUGCGCAAUGGGCGAAAGCCUGACGCAGCGACGCCGCGUGUGUGAAGAAGGCCCUAGGGUUGUAAAGCUCUUUUGGCGGGGACGAUAAUGACGGUACCCGCAGAAUAAGCCCCGGCUAACUUCGUGCCAGCAGCCGCGGUAAUACGAAGGGGGCUAGCGUUGUUCGGAAUUACUGGGCGUAAAGCGCACGCAGGCGGAUUGGUGAGUUAGAGGUGAAAUCCCGGGGCUCAACCUCGGAAUUGCCUUUGAUACUGCCAGUCUUGAGUCCGGGAGAGGUGAGUGGAAUUCCUAGUGUAGAGGUGAAAUUCGUAGAUAUUAGGAAGAACACCAGUGGCGAAGGCGGUUCACUGGCCCGGAACUGACGCUCAGGUGCGAAAGCGUGGGGAGCAAACAGGAUUAGAUACCCCGGUAGUCC